Molecule: non-coding RNA, 935 nt
Organism: Nothobranchius furzeri (turquoise killifish)
Lineage: Eukaryota; Metazoa; Chordata; Actinopteri; Cyprinodontiformes; Nothobranchiidae
Source: RefSeq, a predicted model, not a curated record
CAUUUCAGGCUCUCCACAUCAUAUGUGACUGACUUUUACGUUAUAAUGAUCACACACUAGGAAUGUUAUAAAGCGCCUAUAUAGGACAGUUUCUUUUGUAUAUUAUCUGACUUUAUAAACUCCCAACAACAAUGUGCUUAUAUAUUUUUUUCAGGCUAAAUCUACCCAAGACACUGGCUGUCAGACUGAUUUAGCUGCAAGAAUGCACUUGUCCAGGCUGAUGUGAAACCUUCCCUGUAGCAAAGCCAGCCAGAAUGGAGUUCACAGCCGCAGUGUGUCUGGUGACCCACGGGGACCAUGAUGAAAAUUCAUCUUCCAGAAGGUCCCAGAGCAGCGGCCACACCCCCUGAAAAGACCAAGGUGUGAGGUGUCUGCUGUUGAUUCCAGCUUCCACCUCAGUGACAGUGCAAGCUCAGUGAACUGUUCAAGGUAAAAAAAAAAAAAUUAAAACAUUUCAGAAUUUUUAAGAUAUUAACAAUUAAAUAAGUAUGUGAUUACAUCAUGACGGAGGCUACUGAUUCUGCCCCCGUGACACUUGGUGGUGACGUGUGAGCUGAUUCACCUGGAAAACAACUUUUACAUUAAAUAUUUUGUUUUUGCUAUCAAAAGUAAAUUAACUAAUAACCUGCAUUAUUGCAGGACACUCAGCAAAAUAUGGACUCUACACCAUGAGGCAGGCACACGUUAAUAACUCUAUAAGAGCACAUAAGCCUGGCUGAUCACCUGAUAACUCCUGUCAUCUGGUUAUGACAGCAUGAGGAUGUCCUCACACCUGUAACCUAUCAGCUCAUCUGGCAGAAUAGAGAGAGAUGAGACAACACCACACCUCCUGUUCCUGGAAAGCCUUCAGCCAUCCUUCGAUGACUGAGAACCUCCAUCAGCUCUGUCUCCUGUCUGCCUACAAUUAUUAUAAUAAAUAUUGUGUUUGACAAGUU